GAUGAACGCUGGCGGCGUGCCUAAUACAUGCAAGUCGAGCGAACGGACGAGAAGCUUGCUCCUCUGAUGUUAGCGGCGGACGGGUGAGUAACACGUGGAUAACCUACCUAUAAGACUGGGAUAACUUCGGGAAACCGGAGCUAAUACCGGAUAAUAUUUUGAACCGCAUGGUUCAAAAGUGAAAGACGGUUUUGCUGUCACUUAUAGAUGGAUCCGCGCCGCAUUAGCUAGUUGGUAAGGUAACGGCUUACCAAGGCAACGAUGCGUAGCCGACCUGAGAGGGUGAUCGGCCACACUGGAACUGAGACACGGUCCAGACUCCUACGGGAGGCAGCAGUAGGGAAUCUUCCGCAAUGGGCGAAAGCCUGACGGAGCAACGCCGCGUGAGUGAUGAAGGUCUUCGGAUCGUAAAACUCUGUUAUUAGGGAAGAACAAAUGUGUAAGUAACUGUGCACAUCUUGACGGUACCUAAUCAGAAAGCCACGGCUAACUACGUG
Molecule: ribosomal RNA, 497 nt
Filed under: uncultured bacterium
Lineage: Bacteria
Description: partial 16S ribosomal RNA
Rfam family: Bacterial small subunit ribosomal RNA
Source: RNAcentral